AUGGGAGUCUUCAAGGUUCCAAACCUGCUAUGCUUGCUAUUUCUCAUGCUACUCGUCUUGGCUCCUGGCUUUGAUGCCAAGACUUGCUACAAGGACAGCACGACCUAUACCACUAAUAUUUGCAGUCCUGAUCCAUGUGUUGAGGCAUGUCACAAGGAGGGAUUUACUGAUGGGACGUGUGUCCUAUUCUUGCCAAGACCCAUUAUCGAGAGAUGUUUAUGCAAAACAUGUUGA
Molecule: ribosomal RNA, 234 nt
Filed under: Triticum aestivum (bread wheat)
Lineage: Eukaryota; Viridiplantae; Streptophyta; Magnoliopsida; Poales; Poaceae
Description: partial small subunit ribosomal RNA
Source: RNAcentral